Molecule: long non-coding RNA, 138 nt
Filed under: Cyanistes caeruleus (blue tit)
Lineage: Eukaryota; Metazoa; Chordata; Aves; Passeriformes; Paridae
Description: lncRNA (ENSCCEG00000012524.1)
Source: RNAcentral
AUGAAGACAACGAGAUAUAACUUCUUCAGAGGGAAUCUGCUGCACUGUAAGUUACGGCCAAGAGUAGAGUUCAACUUAGCAGCUAGAGACAGAAGACUUCUGGAGUGGAAGUUCUUAAAAAAAAAAGAUCAGAUUUAA